This 254-nucleotide ribosomal RNA is filed under the name uncultured bacterium. RNAcentral describes it as "partial 16S ribosomal RNA". It matches the Rfam family "Bacterial small subunit ribosomal RNA", at positions 524 to 776 of the family's 1533-position model. The record is from RNAcentral.
UACAGAGGUCCCGAGCGUUGUUCGGAUUCACUGGGCGUAAAGGGCGCGUAGGUGGCUUGGCAAGUUUGGCGUGAAAUCUCCGGGCUUAACCCGGAAAUGGCGUUGAAUACUGUUUGAGCUGGAGGUUUGGAGGGGGGACUGGAAUUCUUGGUGUAGCAGUGAAAUGCGUAGAUAUCGUAAGGAAGACCAGUGGCGAAGGCGGGUCUCUGGACAGUUCCUGACGCUGAGGCACGAAGGUCAGGGGAGCAAACGGG